RNAcentral lists this transfer RNA (66 nucleotides) under Trachylophus sinensis. Its description in RNAcentral is "tRNA-Asp". It matches the Rfam family "tRNA". Rfam says of the family: Transfer RNA (tRNA) molecules are approximately 80 nucleotides in length. The record is from RNAcentral. Lineage: Eukaryota; Metazoa; Arthropoda; Insecta; Coleoptera; Cerambycidae.
AAAAAUUUAGUUAAAUCAUAACGUUAGCUUGUCAAGCUAAAAUUAUUAGAAGCCUAAUAGUUUUUU